CCUUCGGGAACUCUGACACAGGUGCUGCAUGGCUGUCGUCAGCUCGUGUCGUGAGAUGUUGGGUUAAGUCCGUAACGAGCGCAACCCUUGUCCUUAGUUACCAGCACGUUAUGGUGGGCACUCUAAGGAGGACUGCCGGUGACAAACCGGAGGAAGGUGGGGGAUGACGUCAAGUCAUCAUGGCCCUUACGGCCUGGGCUACACACGUGCUACAAUGGUCGGUACAAAGGGUUGCCAAGCCGCGAGGUGGAGCUAAUCCCAUAAAACCGAUCGUAGUCCGGAUCGCAGUCUGCAACUCGACUGCGUGAAGUCGGAAUCGCUAGUAAUCGUGAAUCAGAAUGUCACGGUGAAUACGUUCCCGGGCCUU
Molecule: ribosomal RNA, 367 nt
Filed under: uncultured Pseudomonas sp.
Lineage: Bacteria; Pseudomonadati; Pseudomonadota; Gammaproteobacteria; Pseudomonadales; Pseudomonadaceae
Description: bacterial SSU rRNA
Rfam family: Bacterial small subunit ribosomal RNA
Source: RNAcentral